RNAcentral lists this ribosomal RNA (446 nucleotides) under uncultured bacterium. RNAcentral describes it as "partial 16S ribosomal RNA". It matches the Rfam family "Bacterial small subunit ribosomal RNA", at positions 29 to 507 of the family's 1533-position model. The record is from RNAcentral.
ACGAACGCUGGCGGCAUGCCUAACACAUGCAAGUCGAACGAUGCCUUCGGGCAUAGUGGCGCACGGGUGCGUAACGCGUGGGAAUCUGCCCUUGGCUUCGGAAUAACAGUUAGAAAUGACUGCUAAUACCGGAUGAUGUCCCCCUGAGAGAUCUUGGGGACCAAAGAUUUAUCGGCCAGGGAUGAGCCCGCGUAGGAUUAGGUAGUUGGUGGGGUAAAGGCCUACCAAGCCGACGAUCCUUAGCUGGUCUGAGAGGAUGAUCAGCCACACUGGGACUGAGACACGGCCCAGACUCCUACGGGAGGCAGCAGUGGGGAAUAUUGGACAAUGGGGGGAACCCUGAUCCAGCAAUGCCGCGUGAGUGAUGAAGGCCUUAGGGUUGUAAAGCUCUUUUACCAGGGAUGAUAAUGACAGUACCUGGAGAAUAAGCGCCGGCUAACUCCGUG